RNAcentral lists this ribosomal RNA (506 nucleotides) under uncultured bacterium. Its description in RNAcentral is "partial 16S ribosomal RNA". It matches the Rfam family "Bacterial small subunit ribosomal RNA", at positions 29 to 523 of the family's 1533-position model. The record is from RNAcentral.
AGUGAACGCUGGCGGUAGGCCUAACACAUGCAAGUCGAACGGCAGCACAGGAGAGCUUGCUCUCUGGGUGGCGAGUGGCGGACGGGUGAGGAAUACAUCGGAAUCUAAUCUGUCGUGGGGGAUAACGUAGGGAAACUUACGCUAAUACCGCAUACGACCUACGGGUGAAAGCAGGGGACCUUCGGGCCUUGUGCGAUUGAAUGAGCCGAUGUCGAAUUAGCUAGUUGGCGGGGUAAAGGCCCAACAAGGCGACGAUCCGUAGCUGGUCCGAGAGGAUGAUCAGCCACACUGGAACUGAGACACGGUCCAGACUCCUACGGGAGGCAGCAGUGGGGAAUAUUGGACAAUGGGCGCAAGCCUGAUCCAGCCAUACCGCGUGGGUGAAGAAGGCCUUCGGGUUGUAAAGCCCUUUUGUUGGGAAAGAAAUCCAGCUGGCUAAUACCCGGUUGGGAUGACGGUACCCAAAGAAUAAGCACCGGCUAACUUCGUGCCAGCCGCCGCAGUAA